UACGUAGGUGGAAAGCGUUGUCCGGAUUUAUUGGGUUUAAAGGGUGCGUAGGCGGUCCUUUAAGUCAGUGCUGAAAUACUCCAGCUUAACUGGAGGGGUGGCAUUGAUACUGGGGGACUUGAAUGAAGUCGAGGUAGGCGGAAUUGACGGUGUAGCGGUGAAAUGCUUAGAUAUCGUCAAGAACACCGAUAGUGAAGACAGCUUACUAGGCUUAUAUUGACGCUGAGGCACGAAAGUGUGGGGAUCAAACAGG
RNAcentral lists this ribosomal RNA (253 nucleotides) under uncultured bacterium. Its description in RNAcentral is "partial 16S ribosomal RNA". It matches the Rfam family "Bacterial small subunit ribosomal RNA", at positions 524 to 776 of the family's 1533-position model. The record is from RNAcentral.